UAGGGAAUCUUCCACAAUGGGCGCAAGCCUGAUGGAGCAACGCCGCGUGAGUGAAGAAGGUUUUCGGAUCGUAAAACUCUGUUGGUAGAGAAGAACGUUGGUGAGAGUGGAAAGCUCAUCAAGUGACGGUAACUACCCAGAAAGGGACGGCUAACUACGUGCCAA
This 165-nucleotide ribosomal RNA is filed under the name uncultured bacterium. RNAcentral describes it as "partial 16S rRNA". It matches the Rfam family "Bacterial small subunit ribosomal RNA", at positions 355 to 511 of the family's 1533-position model. The record is from RNAcentral.